AAAAACUUACACAUACCACGUUGAGAAAAAGUACAUAAUAAUAAAAAGUAGAAACGUUUGUUUUGAUGUUUUAAACAGGGAUGAAAAGCCUUAAAAUGAAACUUCAGCUUUUGGCUUUUAGCUUGAAAUUUCAAAAUUGAAACUUUUGGUUUUAGCUUUCGGCUAUCUCGAUCUUUAAAGCUUGCUUUAGCCAAACUUUUGGCUUCCAAUGGCUUUCCCUUAUAUUUUCAAUUUAACAGCUUUCAGCUAUAUUUCAUUAAGCUUUUAGCUUCAAACUUUUGGCUUUAAGCUUUUGACUUUAAACUUUUAGCUGAUACACCACCAAUUUACAAAAAAAAGGGGGGAUUAAAAAUUAGACCAGGUACAUUGAUUUCAUAUUAGUGAUAGUGGAGAAUAUUCAUUGCUAGACUUAUUUUCUUUUUUUUUAUUUCAUUAAAUCGCAUUAAAAUAAAAUUGUAUGAAAUUUUUUUUGUUUUUUUGUUUCUUCUGAAUUUAGAGAAUUCAAUACUGCAUGAAAGCUUUUGAAAAAGCCAAAAAAAUGAAACUUUUGGCUAGCUUUUGGCUUGGAAAAAAUGAAACUUGCAAACUUUUAGCUUUUGGCUUGGUGCGAAAAUCUGCUCGGCUUUCAGCUUUCGGCUUUAAGCUUUCGGCUAGCUUUUCAUCCCUGGUUUUAAAUCGAAAAUUCUUCAAAAAUUCUACCUCUUGGUUGGCUGAGCCAGAAAAAAGUUCUUUAGAAAUAAUUUUCCAAGUUUUAAUUUGCAUUAAAAAAAAAAAAUAAAAAAGUGUUAUGAAAAUGCUCGUAAGAAUUUUCAAAGUUUUGAAAAUGAGAGAUUGUUAUUUUGAAGGUAGAUAGAUUAGAUACAUGUGUAUUGGUGACAAUCCCAGAUCCCUUCUCAAAAUUGUGAAGUGUUUGAUAAAAUACCUACUAAACUAGUGCUUUUUCAUUUAGAAAUUUUGUUAGGCACCUUAUUGCUCGUAAUUUUAAUGGGUCAAUUUGUAUGUAUUUAUUUUGAAACCCAUUUUUUAUUCGGUAGGUAUUUAUUUAUUUACGUAGGUAUAGUAUACGAGUAGUUUAACCAUAAUAUCAUUAUGCCAUACUUGUAUAAUUUUUUAGUAUAUUAUUGGUAUUUUUUGUUGAAUUAUGACUAUUUAAUUCAAUAAUUUUGAAUUUUAAAUUUUUUUAAAUUUAAUUUUCAAAUCAUCGUACUUUAUAAUUUUCCAGUUUUAAAUAUUUUACACAUUUUAUCAAUGUAUUCGUAGAGAAAGCCAUUUUUUGAAGCCGUAAAUAUUCAAUUCAACGUGAAGAGAAGAAAGAACCUUUUUUUUUUGCGAUUUUUGGAAUUGUAGGAGAGGUACUACUUAUUGUAAAGGGAAAAAAAUGGCUGACGAAAUUUUUUAAUGUUAUGUUGAAAUUUCUUUCAUCUCUUCUCCAUUCAGUUGAAAAUUUACGUUUUUUGUUUUUUUUUUUCGUGUGUAGGUAUGAAUGUUUUGUAUUCUACGAUCGUAGAAGAGUUGAAUUUUUCUGGCAUGAAGUAUAUUUUGUACAGAAUCAUAUAUUCCUCUCAGAAAGUUUACUAAGAUUUGUCCAACGGUUAAUGGAAGUCAUGAACCAGAUCUCCAAACCUCAGAAGUGACAGUUGUUUUGAGUAUAGGUUGGCAGAAUUCAUGGAAAAUAAUAUGAGUAGAUGUGUGCAGAUAUUUACUAGAAAUCGUACACUGUGGUCAUCCAGCCGAAAAUCAUCAGCAUUAUUGAAAACUUCCUGUACAUCCUGUAUGCUACACAUUCAACUUGAGAAGUGGAUCCGAAUCAUAAACCAUCCCGGCGUUUAAUUCUCGUCGAUUGAUAAAUACGCGUGAUUAUUACGCGUCCGUGAGUACUUAUAUGGCACGUGUUGCAUAAUUUAAACUCCCUGUGAAGCUGAUGUUGAUGCUGGUGGCAUACGCAUCUUUUAAAUCGAUGGGUACGGUGCGUGGCUGCUGCCUCAUGGCUCAUGGCUGGCGACGUAGUCGUCGUAAAAUCUACCUACAUUUUUCAAACGAUACACCCGGCGGUACAUAGAUAUUUAAAUUCACUCUGACGAAUGAAAAGGUACAUAAUAUAUUACGAUACCUGUUCGCUGUUCGUAUGAUGAUGAUAAUCUUGGUAUAACGCGUUACUAAUUGAGGUUAUACCUAAUUGACGUGUGUUUGGUCGUGUUUCUUUGCCGAAGGGUGCACUUUGGAUGGUUCUCGUUAUUUGAUGAAGGCAAUUGUUGGAUCGAAUACUUGCACCUGGAAUGAAAACAGUUUUUACAUUUUCCUAAAUUAUUCAAGGAUUUUCUUGUUUUUACGGAUGGGCUGCUACGACUUCCAUUAUUUUCGCUACUUAAUUGGCUCUACAUAUUUUAGGUACCUACUUAACUUCUCGUAGUAUGUAAUACUUUGAAAAUAAAUGAAUUUUUUACCAUUUUUGUGAAUAAUCAGGUGCUUGCUUUCUGAAAAUUCUUCAACUUGUGUACGAUUUUUGCUUUGUUGUGUUUUCAAAUUUUUAUAAAAUAAAGUUCAAGCAAUGUUACAUCCUAAAUAUGUCUAUGUAUUUACCUAGUUGAAAAAUUCGACUUUUUGUUAAAAAUUUAUU
Planococcus citri (citrus mealybug) is the source of this 2617-nucleotide long non-coding RNA. RefSeq lists it as uncharacterized. The record is from RefSeq and is a predicted model, not a curated record. The transcript is spliced from 6 exons. NCBI's taxonomy places the organism in Eukaryota, Metazoa, Arthropoda, Insecta, Hemiptera, Pseudococcidae.